Anolis carolinensis (green anole) is the source of this 4420-nucleotide long non-coding RNA. RefSeq lists it as uncharacterized. The transcript has 2 exons. The record is from RefSeq and is a predicted model, not a curated record. Lineage: Eukaryota; Metazoa; Chordata; Lepidosauria; Squamata; Anolidae.
UCCAUACAGUCAUGCUGGCCACAUGACCUUGGAGGUGUCUACGGACAACGCCGGCUCUUCAGCUUAGAAAUGGAGAUGAGCACUAACCCCUUUAUCUUAUUAUUAUUAAUUAUCAGAUGCAAAAAAUGUGAAGAAAAAAACAUGAUUGUCUGCAUGAUUGUGCACCCUGGAUUCCCCCUUCUUGAAAAAUGUGCUCACUAUUAUUCCAAUGAGAGAGAGCAAUAUUAAUCCUGGAUGCCACCCUGCUGUUUUCAACAUCCCAAAUGCUGGGAGUUUGAGCUCCAAAGCUUGCUGAAGGGGGCCACCUUCGAGAACCCCCCCCCCUCCCUCUUUUCUUGAGGAUUGGGGGAGGGAGGGAGGCUCAGGGUGACGACGCGCGGCUGUUACUAGGCGAGGCCUUGCUGUCCUCGGAUCAGGGAGGGAAGGAAGGAAGGAGGGGGGAAAGGAAGAGGAGGACGCGCCGUUCCUUCGCCCGGCCCGGCAGCAACAGCGCGCCUCCCUCCAAGCUCCGGCUUUUGACGCAGGCGCACUGCGGCCUUCCUUUCCUCGCCCUUCACACGCAAAAGGCAGCGCGCGCUCUCGCUGGCAGGGGACGCGCACGCGCACUCCGGCGCGCUCCCCUCUCCUCGCCCGGCUCCUCCCCUUUUAGCAAACAGCGUUAGCCCCGCCCCGCCUUACCUCAGAUGAACCCGUCCGGCCUGGCCUUGAGUUUGCUGCCGCUGUAGUUGCAUGGCAUUGCAUUGCUGCUACGGAUCGAUAAAGGAGGGGGAAAAAAACCACAGCAAGCAGCCAGCAGGACACAGCUAUAGCAAGUCUUAGGUAUUACAUCCUAUUUAGCUUAUGUAGAUUGUUAGCCCGAGGGAAAAUGCAACAUUUUGUAAGCCGCUCUAGCUAAGUGCCCUUUGAGGCUGAAGAGCCAAGUAAAAAUAAUAAUAUUAUGAUAUAAUACAAUGUAAUAAUAAUUAUAAGAUAAAGGUAAAGGUUUUCCCCUGACGUUAAGUCCAGUCAUGACCGACUCUGGGGGUUGGUGCUCAUCUCCAUUUCUAAGCCGAAGAGCCAGCGUUGUCCGUAGACACCUCCAAGGUCAUGUGACCACUGGCAUACUUAUUAAUCUACUCACAUUUGCAUGUUUUCAAACUGCUAGGUUGGCAGGAGCUGGGGCUAACAGCAGGCGCUCAUUCCGCUCCCGGAAUUUGAACCUGGGACCUUUCGGUCUGCAAGUUCAGCAGCUCAGCGCUUUAACACACUGCGCCACCACCAGGGGCCCUAAUAAUAAUUAUAAUUCACUAUUAUAAUUGUAUAUUUAUAUUACAUGCAAUAUUACUAAUAAUAUUGCAAUAUAGUCAUAUAAUAUAAUAUACUAGCCGUGCCCGGCCACGCGUUGCUGUGGGGUUGUCUGGUGGUGUUGGUGAGAAAUGGUUGAGAUAGUGGUGGUAUUGAAUGUCUGUUGUAUGGUUGUCUUUAUGUUUAGUAUGCAUUUGGUUGUUUGUGUACUGUGAAAGUGGUGAGGAUAGAGGGGGUCUAUGUCCCUGUGUAGUAUUGUAUAGUAUUUAUAUGUUGUCCAUGUGUUGUGAAUGCUUGGAUUGUGUCCUGCUGCAUAGUAGAAAGGGUUGGGCUGGAUGGCCCUUAGGGGUCUCGCCAAACUCUUGUGCCUGUCUCCUGGGUUGAGUAGGUUGCUAGGAGACCAAGUGGGCAGAACUUAGCCUUUUAACUGGCAGCAAUUGGAUAAAAACAGUUAUCCCUCUCCCUCUAAUUAGGACUUUAUUUUUCUUUUCUUUUUGUUGUAUCAACCUAGAGCUGUGGAUGAUGGGUUGUAUUGUCAAAUUUCAAGGUUGGGGGGCCUGUAGUUUUGUUGUUUUGUCCGCUGCCCUGAUGCUAUCACUCUUUUAUAUAUAUAGAUUGUAUGUAUAUAUUCUUGUAAACCACCCUGUGUCCCCUUUGGGGUGAGAAGGGCGGGAUAUAAAUGUCGCAAAUAAAUAAAUAAUAAAAAAUCCUUAGUUUAAACCAGGCAUGGACAAACUCCGGCUCUCCCUCUGGGUGUUUUGGACUCCAAUUCCCACAAUUCCUAACAGCACUAAGGCACUCCAAGUGGCCAGUUUGCCAAUGUUAUGCCAAAUUUUUAACUUUGUGUUUUUAAAUACAUUGUAACUGUAUCCUCAAUUUCCUUCUGACAAAAUAAAUAAACAAGGAACAGAAAAAAAAUUCAAAUGUUGUUACAUAGUGUAAUGUUACAGGAAAAAGGAGCACACUCACUGGGCAUUAGGAAUCCUUUUAUUGGAAUAAAACCCUUCCCUUUCAGUGUGUUCUUUUUGGAAACUUUGCAUUGAUGCAUAUAAAUUAGCAGGUGCUGCUCAUACAGGUUGGCCUGUUCUCCUCUGUUUUGGGGCCUGAAGGGGAUGAACAUGGAUGCCUCUCCUGAUAAGGGACGUGAAGCAAUGGUUCAAAUGGCAGAUAGAUUCCACCCAGAAUUUAGGAAGAACUUCCUGAGGGUUAGAGCUGUUCAGCUGUGUAAUAUGCUGCUGUCUGGGAGCCUGGUGAAGUCUCCUUCUCUGAAGGUUUUUAAACAGAGGCUGGAUGGUGAUCUGUUGGGAAGGAUUAAUAAUAAUAGUAAUAACAACAACUUUAUUCUUGUAUCCCGCCCCAUCUCCCCAAGGGGACUCGGGACGUCUCACAUGUGGACCAAGCCCAACAAGAUGCAGUAAAAUAUAACCAUAUAAAAUACAUACCAAUCACAGAAAAUUAAAUACAUCGGAAUUAAAAACACAUCAGAAAUAAAAGUGUAGCCAAUGGCCACGGACGACAUAAUGGUACUUUAAUCUUCAGACUUGGUGGAGAGGGAUAAGAUUAUAAUUGUGCAAUAUGUUUGGAGUACUAAUCACAUGGAUAAAGUGCGAAGAGUAGGACACAGGUAAAGUUAGGGACUUGAUUGUCUGUUCUUCUUAAUCAAAGGUGGCUUGAAAAAACCAAGUUUUCAAAUCUUUUCGGAAGGAUUGGUUUGUGUCUUCCUGCCUGGUAGAAGGGGGAUGGAUUGGAUGGCCUUUGGAGGUCUCUUCCAACUUUAGGAUUCUGUUUGCCUCACCACAAAAGAUCCAGGGGCAUCAAAAGCUCUCAUUGGCUCUUUCCCAUGAUAUUGCGAUGGCCAUGCUGUCUGGGGGUGGUGGGAGGGGUGGAGUGCCACAUCUUGAGAUGUCCAGAUUGGGAACAGUUGUACCGAGUAUUAGCUGUUGUGACAUAUGUCAUACCUCAUUUACUUGUAAGCCUUCCUGACCUCAGAAACGAGAGCCAGCAUGGUGUGUGUGUGGUUUUGAGUGCUGGACUUAGGGUGCAUCUACACUGUAGAAUGAAUGCAGUUUGACAGCACAUGAACUGCCAUGGCUUAAUGCCAUAGGAUCCUGGGAGUUGUAGUUUACCCAGGUUCCGGCCCUCUUGGACAGAGAAAACUAAAGAUACUGAGAAAUGCAACCCUCAGGAGCCCAUGGCCUUGAGCCGGGGCAGUUCAAGUGGGGUCAGGCUGCCUUCAUUGCACAGAGUAGAGGUAGCCUUGCUCUCUGCAAGGCUGGUGAAUUAGGACAUUGCAAUGGGAAAAGCACAAGAUGCUUAUUUUUUGGAGAUAGGCAUAGCAGUAAUUACCUCCCCCCCCCCCACAAAAAAAAUCCCUUGCUGCUUCUGUAUCAGAGGGAAAGGGGGAAGAGAAGAACUCCAGCUCUUGCACGUCCUUCUCUCACUUGCUUGAUUCGGAGCUUGGGGGGGGGGGGGAGUAGUGGUACAAACUCCUCCUCCUCCUCUUCCUCCUCCUCCUCUUCUCCCCCCUCCCACUUCAGAAGAGGAGGAGGAGGAGGAGAGAGAAGCCAAAUGAACAAUGCAAACUGCCAGUACAUCCGACACGCACGGUUUUCUUAGGCAAGGAAGACUCAGAGGGGCAUUUGCCGGUUCCUUCCUUGGUUGGUGGGAAGGAGAGACAGGGCCUUCUCAGUGGCGGCUCCUCAGCUCUGGAACUCCCUCCCCAAUGAGAGUAGAACAGCACCCUCCCUCCUGGCCUUCAGAAAGAAGACAAAGACAUGACUGUGGAAGCAAGCUUUUGGCCAGUAAAGUAAUGCAAUGCAAGAAAUAAAUAGGGAAUGUGUGCAAUUGACAAUUGGAACGGCCCUGGUCUAUUAUUUUGGAUCAUGUUAUUUUAAUGUUUAUAUUAUAUUAUAAUUCUUUUUAAUGUCUAAAUGUUGUUUUAUGUCAUGUUUAAUAGUCUUAUUGAUUUUAAUGCAUAGUUAUAUGUUUACUGUUUCAGAUAUAUGAUCUGGUUUUACACGUAUGUACUGCACUGAAUUUUGCCACUAUCGUGUUGUAAACAGCUUUGAUUCCCCUCAGGGGUGAGAAAAACAGUAUAUAAAUAUGGUAGAUAAAUAAAUAAAUAAAUAAUAAACAA